GGGAGAGAGCCUAUAAAUGUACGAUUUACUGUGGAACCCAUGGCAGCCCGAGGUUCAAAUACUUAGCUUGGGAUUUUGGAUAGUGUCAGAGUUUACUCUGUAUAUGUAUCAGGAAUGCAAGUACGAGUGAAGCAAGGAUGAGGAAUUCCCUACAACUUAGUUUGGCACAAGAAUCCGCGCUUUCAUUUUGGUUAUCUCUACUCUGACUGAAUUUUUCUCAUUUCUUUGUAUUUUUAGAAGAUCUGGGUUUUUUUAUUACAAGGACCUGUUUUUGCUUUGGUGUUACAGGGGAGAGAGCUAUGUAUGUACUGUGGGAUUUGGAAGCUUUGAGCCUUUGGAUUCAACGGGUUAUUUCUUUCCUUGAGUGUUGUUUGUUAUGAAAUAGGGUGUCAUAGUAUAAUGUGGCAGUGCUU
RNAcentral lists this long non-coding RNA (413 nucleotides) under Trifolium pratense (red clover). RNAcentral's name for it is "long non-coding RNA (TPRA_LNC014348)". Lineage: Eukaryota; Viridiplantae; Streptophyta; Magnoliopsida; Fabales; Fabaceae. The record is from RNAcentral.